AUGUCCAGCCGCAGAUGCCAGGUGCUCCAGUCAGCAAGCCGUGGUGGCCACCUGGGAGCUGGGCCAGCAGCAAAACUGUGGCAAAUGCUCCAGAGGAAGGGGUGCUGGGUCCAAGCCCCGGGACGCAGUUGGAGGUGGGCAGAGGCUGAGCUACAGACCGACAGCAGGGUCCUGCAGCAUGCAGAUCGGGCCCCUCCGUGGGCUUCUGGAAGGAGGACAGAGGUCACUGCCUGGAUUUUGUUGCCAAAUGGAUGCACGGUGACAGCCUUUCUAAAUGCUUCGUGUGAGGCAACAGUGAGGCGAUGCUUUGAUAGCAAGAGUCGAGAUGGGGCUCCAGACCUGGAGGGGUACUCUGGGGCAUCUUGCUUUCCUCUGUGUUUGUUUCUCUCCAUCAGCACAUGUUUGUGGCACAUUCUGAUUACACUCACUGUGGGCAGUAGAUUUAUGGAGCCCAAGACACCUGGUGAGCUUUGGAAUGUCCCCUAGUCUUCAGUUCUCUACCUCUAACACAAACAUGGAAACUGCUGUGACGUUCAACUUGCAGGAAUGUCUCUGUCUAAACAACCACAGGGAUGAGCCCCAGGGGUCAAGGUCAUUGCGAGCUCUGGCCAGAGACCAAGAAGCAGACACCUGGACAAAGAGGACCCUGCUCAGCGCACAGCCUUCCGGCCCUGUUCCUCCUUUUCUCCUGCUAUCCAAUCCCUUUGUGCCCUGAGUAAGUGUGACGUCACUGGCCCCUAAAAUUUUCAAUUUGCCAGCCCUUGAGUACCUGGAUUCCUCCCAAUGAAUUUACAGCUCCUUAAUAUUGGCUUUUGAGUGGUGAGCAGUCCAGACCUAGUUCUGUCACAAUCGAGCCCUGCCACCUGGAAAAUACCCUAAACAUAGUUUGCUGUGUCUUUG
This 900-nucleotide long non-coding RNA is filed under the name Fukomys damarensis (Damara mole-rat). RNAcentral's name for it is "lncRNA (ENSFDAG00000022012.1)". The record is from RNAcentral. Lineage: Eukaryota; Metazoa; Chordata; Mammalia; Rodentia; Bathyergidae.